UAAUACGGAGGGUGCAAGCGUUAUCCGGAUUCACUGGGUUUAAAGGGUGCGUAGGCGGAUAGGUAAGUCCGUGGUGAAAUCUCCCGACUUAAUCGGGAAACUGCCAUGGAUACUAUCUAUCUUGAAUGCCGUGGAGGUUAGCGGAAUAUGUCAUGUAGCGGUGAAAUGCUUAGAUAUGACAUAGAACACCCAUUGCGAAGGCAGCUAACUACGCGGUGAUUGACGCUGAUGCACGAAAGCGUGGGGAUCAAACAGGAUUAGAUACCCUGGUAGUCCACGCCCUAAACGAUGAUUACUCGACAUUGGCGAUACACUGUCAGUGUCUGAGCGAAAGCAUUAAGUAAUCCACCUGGGAAGUACGAUCGCAAGAUUG
RNAcentral lists this ribosomal RNA (373 nucleotides) under uncultured bacterium. Its description in RNAcentral is "bacterial SSU rRNA". It matches the Rfam family "Bacterial small subunit ribosomal RNA", at positions 521 to 896 of the family's 1533-position model. The record is from RNAcentral.